GACGAACGCUGGCGGCGUGCUUAACACAUGCAAGUCGAACGGAAAGGCCUCUUUCGGGGGGUACUCGAGUGGCGAACGGGUGAGUAACACGUGAGUAACCUGCCCUUGACUUUGGGAUAACUUCAGGAAACUGGGGCUAAUACCGGAUAGGAGCUCCUGCUGCAUGGUGGGGGUUGGAAAGUUUCGGCGGUUGAGGAUGGACUCGCGGCUUAUCAGCUUGUUGGUGGGGUAGUGGCUUACCAAGGCUUUGACGGGUAGCCGGCCUGAGAGGGUGACCGGCCACAUUGGGACUGAGAUACGGCCCAGACUCCUACGGGAGGCAGCAGUGGGGAAUAUUGCACAAUGGGUGGAAGCCUGAUGCAGCAACGCCGUGUGCGGGAUGACGGCCUUCGGGUUGUAAACCGCUUUCGCUCAUGACGAAGCUUUGUGUGACGGUAGUGGGUAAAGAAGCACCGGCUAACUACGUG
This 467-nucleotide ribosomal RNA is filed under the name uncultured bacterium. RNAcentral's name for it is "partial 16S ribosomal RNA". It matches the Rfam family "Bacterial small subunit ribosomal RNA", at positions 28 to 507 of the family's 1533-position model. The record is from RNAcentral.